Molecule: ribosomal RNA, 372 nt
Filed under: uncultured organism
Description: bacterial SSU rRNA
Rfam family: Bacterial small subunit ribosomal RNA
Source: RNAcentral
CGUAGGGUGCGAGCGUUAAUCGGAAUUACUGGGCGUAAAGCGUGCGCAGGCGGUUUUGUAAGACAGGCGUGAAGUCCCCGGGCUCAACCUGGGAACUGCGCUUGUGACUGCAAGGCUAGAGUACGGCAGAGGGGGGUGGAAUUCCACGUGUAGCAGUGAAAUGCGUAGAGAUGUGGAGGAACACCAAUGGCGAAGGCAGCCCCCUGGGUCGAUACUGACGCUCAUGCACGAAAGCGUGGGUAGCAAACAGGAUUAGAUACCCUGGUAGUCCACGCCCUAAACGAUGUCAACUAGGUGUUGGGUGGGUAAAACCAUUUAGUACCGGAGCUAACGCGUGAAGUUGACCGCCUGGGGAGUACGGCCGCAAGGUUA